This 253-nucleotide ribosomal RNA is filed under the name uncultured bacterium. Its description in RNAcentral is "partial 16S ribosomal RNA". It matches the Rfam family "Bacterial small subunit ribosomal RNA", at positions 524 to 776 of the family's 1533-position model. The record is from RNAcentral.
UACGUAGGGGGCAAGCGUUGUCCGGAUUUAUUGGGCGUAAAGAGCGUGUAGGCGGCCCGGUAAGUCCGCUGUGAAAGUCGGGGGCUCAACCCUCGAAUGCCGGUGGAUACUGUCGGGCUAGAGUGCGGAAGAGGCGAGUGGAAUUCCUGGUGUAGCGGUGAAAUGCGCAGAUAUCAGGAGGAACACCGAUUGCGAAGGCAGCUCGCUGGGACGUAACUGACGCUGAGACGCGAAAGCGUGGGGAGCAAACAGG